RNAcentral lists this ribosomal RNA (857 nucleotides) under Phaeobotryon sp. RNAcentral describes it as "partial 28S ribosomal RNA". It matches the Rfam family "Eukaryotic large subunit ribosomal RNA", at positions 68 to 943 of the family's 3401-position model. The record is from RNAcentral. Lineage: Eukaryota; Fungi; Ascomycota; Dothideomycetes; Botryosphaeriales; Botryosphaeriaceae.
ACAGGGAUUGCCUUAGUAACGGCGAGUGAAGCGGCAACAGCUCAAAUUUGAAAGCUGGCUCCUUCGGAGUCCGCAUUGUAAUUUGUAGAGGAUGAUUCGGCGAGGGCUCCCGCCUAAGUCCACUGGAACGUGGCGUCAUAGAGGGUGAGAAUCCCGUAUGCGGUGGGUUGCCUUAGCCAUGUGAAUCUCCUUCGACGAGUCGAGUUGUUUGGGAAUGCAGCUCUAAAUGGGAGGUAAAUUUCUUCUAAAGCUAAAUACCGGCCAGAGACCGAUAGCGCACAAGUAGAGUGAUCGAAAGAUGAAAAGCACUUUGGAAAGAGAGUUAAAAAGUACGUGAAAUUGUUGAAAGGGAAGGGCUUGCAACCAGACUUGUCCGCAGUUGCUCAGCCGGUCUCCUGACCGGCGUACUCUUCUGCGGCCAGGCCAGCAUCAGUUCGGGCGGUCGGAUAAAGACCUAGGGAAUGUAGCUCCUCUCGGGGAGUGUUAUAGCCCUGGGUGGAAUGCGGCCAGCCUGGACUGAGGAUCUCGCUUCGGCAAGGAUGCUGGCGUAAUGGUUGUAAGCCGCCCGUCUUGAAACACGGACCAAGGAGUCUAACAUCUAUGCGAGUGUUUGGGUGUCAAACCCAUACGCGUAAUGAAAGUGAACGGAGGUGGGAACCCGCAAGGGCGCACCAUCGGCCGAUCCUGAUGUCUUCGGAUGGAUUUGAGCAAGAGCAUAGCUGUUGGGACCCGAAAGAUGGUGAACUAUGCCUGAAUAGGGUGAAGCCAGAGGAAACUCUGGUGGAGGCUCGCAGCGGUUCUGACGUGCAAAUCGAUCGUCAAAUUUGGGUAUAGGGGCGAAAGACUAAUCGAACCAU